GACGUACGCUGGCGGCGUGCUUAACACAUGCAAGUCGAACGGAAAGGCCCUGCUUGCAGGGUACUCGAGUGGCGAACGGGUGAGUAACACGUGGGUGAACUGCCCUGCACUUCGGGAUAAGCCUGGGAGACUGGGUCUAAUACCGGAUAUGACCUUCCAUGUAGUGUGGGGGGUGGAAAGAUUUAUCGGUGUGGGAUGAGCCCGCGGCCUAUCAGCUUGUUGGUGGGGUAAUGGCCUACCAAGGCGUCGACGGGUAGCCGGCCUGGGAGGGUGGACGGCCACAUUGGGACUGAGAUACGGCCCAGACUCCUACGGGAGGCAGCAGUGGGGAAUAUUGCACAAUGGGCGGAAGCCUGAUGCAGCGACGCCGCGUGUGGGAUGACGGCCUUCGGGUUGUAAACCUCUUUCGACAGGGACGAAGCUUCGGUGACGGUACCUGUAUAAGAAGCACCGGCUAACUACGUG
Molecule: ribosomal RNA, 465 nt
Filed under: uncultured bacterium
Lineage: Bacteria
Description: partial 16S ribosomal RNA
Rfam family: Bacterial small subunit ribosomal RNA
Source: RNAcentral